Equus caballus (horse) is the source of this 46-nucleotide non-coding RNA. The record is from Rfam. NCBI's taxonomy places the organism in Eukaryota, Metazoa, Chordata, Mammalia, Perissodactyla, Equidae.
UCACUGGUGCUUUUCAGCACCAUCAUAUAGCAUUUUUAGCCAUUUU